RNAcentral lists this ribosomal RNA (857 nucleotides) under uncultured bacterium. RNAcentral describes it as "SSU rRNA". It matches the Rfam family "Bacterial small subunit ribosomal RNA", at positions 524 to 1381 of the family's 1533-position model. The record is from RNAcentral.
UACGGAGGAUGCAAGCGUUAUCCGGAUUCAUUGGGUUUAAAGGGCGCGUAGGCGGGACUGUAAGUCAGAGGUGAAAUCCUUCAGCUUAACUGGAGAAUUGCCAUUGAUACUGCGUACCUUGAGUACAGUUGAGGUAGGCGGAAUGCGUCAUGUAGCGGUGAAAUGCUUAGAUAUGACACAGAACUCCGAUUGCGAAGGCAGCUUACUAAACUGUAACUGACGCUGAGGCACGAAAGCGUGGGGAGCGAACAGGAUUAGAUACCCUGGUAGUCCACGCUGUAAACGAUGAUCACUCGCUGUUAGCAACAUAUCGUUAGCGGCUAAGCGAAAGCAUUAAGUGAUCCACCUGGGGAGUACGGUCGCAAGAUUGAAACUCAAAGGAAUUGACGGGGGCCCGCACAACCGGAGGAACAUGUGGUGUUAAUUCGAUGAUACGCGAGGAACCUUACCUGGGCUUGAAUGUAGUUUGACUUUAUCGGAAACGAUAUUUCUCUUCGGAGCAGGCUCCAAGGUGCUGCAUGGUGGUCGUCAGCUCGUGCCGUGAGGUGUCGGGUUAAGUCCCAUAACGAGCGCAACCCUCAUCCUUAGCACGCCAGCGGCGUAAUACCGGGGACCCUAAGGAGACUGCCAGUGUCAACUGUGAGGAAGGUGGGGAUGACGUCAAAUCAGCCCGGCCCUUAUGUCCAGGGCUACACACCUGUUACAAUGGCCGAUACAAUCGGCAGCUUCCCCGCGAGGGGAUGGUAAUCUCUCAAGUCGGUUUCCGUUCGGAUCGAAGUCUGCAACUCGACUUCCUGAAAUUGGGUUCGCUAGUAAUCGCCCAUCAACCAUGGCGCGGUGAAUACGUUCCCGGGCCU